CGGGGCACCUGAUCCUUCAUGCCGCGUGAGUGAAGAAGGCCUUCGGGUUGUAAAGCUCUUUUGUCAGGGAAGAAACAGCAGCUCUAACACAGCUGUGAAUGACGGUACCUGAAGAAUAAGCACCGGCUAACUACGUGCCAGCAGCCGCGGUAAUACGUAGGGUGCAAGCGUUAAUCGGAAUUACUGGGCGUAAAGCGUGCGCAGGCGGUUAUAUAAGACAGGUGUGAAAUCCCCGGGCUUAACCUGGGAAUUGCAUCUGUGACUGUAUAGCUAGAGUGUGUCAGAGGGGGGUAGAAUUCCACGUGUAGCAGUGAAAUGCGUAGAUAUGUGGAGGAAUACCAAUGGCGAAGGCAGCCCCCUGGGAUAACACUGACGCUCAUGCACGAAAGCGUGGGGAGCAAACAGGAUUAGAUACCCUGGUAGUCCACGCCCUAAACGAUGCUGACUAGUUGUUCGGGAUUUUAUCCUGAGUAACGUAGCUAACGCGUGAAGUCAGCCGCCUGGGGAGUACGGUCGCAAGAUUAAAACUCAAAGGAAUUGACGGGGACCCGCACAAAGCGGUGGAUGAUGUGGAUUAAAUCGAUUGCAAGCGAAAAACUUUACUUA
This 606-nucleotide ribosomal RNA is filed under the name uncultured bacterium. RNAcentral describes it as "bacterial SSU rRNA". It matches the Rfam family "Bacterial small subunit ribosomal RNA", at positions 372 to 977 of the family's 1533-position model. The record is from RNAcentral.